GGGGGCUUAGCUCAAUUGGUAGAGCGCGAGCUUUGCAAGCUCGAGGUCACCGGUUCGAUCCCGGUAGCCUCCACCA
RNAcentral lists this transfer RNA (76 nucleotides) under Deltaproteobacteria bacterium RIFCSPHIGHO2_12_FULL_43_9. Its description in RNAcentral is "tRNA-Ala". It matches the Rfam family "tRNA". From Rfam's summary of the family: Transfer RNA (tRNA) molecules are approximately 80 nucleotides in length. Their secondary structure includes four short double-helical elements and three loops (D, anti-codon, and T loops). The record is from RNAcentral. Lineage: Bacteria; Deltaproteobacteria.